UGGCGAGCUCGGAGCUGCGAUCUGGGUGCUUCCUAGACUGUGCAGCUGGAUGGCAAAGGGGCAGGGGGUUGGGCUGGGGGCGACCGCUGGGGGGCCCUUUCCUCGUCUCCAACCAGCGCUGUAAAGAAAGCUGAUGGCGAAGUUCGGUUUUCCAGGCUUCCCCUGGGCCCCCGGAGUUCCUGAGGCCCAUACGAGGGAGGCCGGGGGAUCCUCUGGCCGCCUAGGCAAGGCUACUCGAAAGCUGCCCACAUGCCUUGCAGCGCCCUCCGGACUCUGGAGAAAACGUCCCUACUCUCCCCAGAGUUAGGUGGGAUGCUGCAUGGACUUCACUGCAUCUCUCUCUGGUUGACCUCCAAUUCCAAAAUCUGCCUGCUUCAGCCUCCAGGAACUGAGAUAACACCAGCCUGCUCAUCCCUUACUCUAUGGAGGUGCCCUGAAGCAAUUCCUACAUGAUUCUUACACAUGCCACAUUUAGAAUCAUCUGAGGAGUGUUAGCCCAACCUUUGCCCUAAGUCUCUCCUGAAGCUAAGUAAAUCUGGAGAAUGGAGCGUAAAAGGGUGAAGUUCGGUGAAGAAGCUGCUGACCUGAGUGACGAGAUGCUUGGCUGCACGGGUGUCCUGUGGCUGAGGAGGGAAGCUUAGAGCCUGUGUCAUCAACUCUGUGAAAACAUGGGACACUGCCAGACAUAGAUGCACAUUGUCUGAGAAGGCUGGCCUCUAACUCAACGAUUGUGUAGACAACAGAAUAUCCAUAUCUAGAUUAUAUGUGUAAAGAACUUAUAAAAAUCAGUUAUGUUUUG
This is a non-coding RNA of Rattus norvegicus (Norway rat), 799 nucleotides long. NCBI's taxonomy places the organism in Eukaryota, Metazoa, Chordata, Mammalia, Rodentia, Muridae. The record is from RefSeq and is a predicted model, not a curated record.